This is a non-coding RNA of Peromyscus maniculatus bairdii (prairie deer mouse), 844 nucleotides long. The record is from RefSeq and is a predicted model, not a curated record. NCBI's taxonomy places the organism in Eukaryota, Metazoa, Chordata, Mammalia, Rodentia, Cricetidae.
ACUGCUUUAGCAUCAUCCCAGACGAGCGGUGUUUGCAGCAGCCCUUGCUUCAUCCUGAGACUUCCGAAGGGUCUUAACCUCACAAGAACUUUCAUAUCAUCCCCGGCAUCUUCUUCACCAAGGAAAUCGAGGCCCCCACCUGAUUCCAUGGAACCCAGCGAUUCACAAGUGGCCAUUCAAAUUGCGUUGUCUAUUCAUGCAUUGCAGUAACCAAGGUCAGCCGGGACUGCUUGGUGAUGGUGUGUUAGGACACUGCAUCCUGGUCUGCUGGAGGACCCGAUUCACUUCAGGACACCACAAGAAACGCACUCAGGUUGAUGCAUCCUGUUUUGUUCAGUCUCUCUCAGUGUACUUUUCUGUUCUUUAUUUCACAGUCAGUGGGCUCUCAAAAAUAAUCAGCCAGCAUCUCAACACCAGUACUUCUUGGACUUGUCUAUACAAUGAGGUGUUGCCUUUGGCAUCCUUUGGAGAGUCUUGUUUUUGUUUGCUCUCUGGUAAAUUCAGGGUCUCAUGAACUUCCUUCUCUAGUUUCAAAGCCCACAUCAGAGAUUCUGGAAGAAUCUCUUGGACUUUUCUCUCCUGCUCUCUAGCUCAUCUGGCUAAUCACAAAACCCCACCUCAGCAUAUGCUGUCUCAAUCUUGUCAUCACUUUGAUUUCACUUCUUGUUACCUUUCCUUACGCCCCCCACCAUAGGUUUCAUUUCUCUAGUUUCCCCUGAAAAACCCAUCUCGCAUAUAGCUUUAUACUUAAUUUUCUGACUAUGCCUCAAACAUACUUGUGUUUCUCCAUUUGCCUCUUUCUGAAGCCUGAUCCUUUCAAUAUCUCUUCCUUGACUCCUCUUCA